UACGUAGGGGGCUAGCGUUAAUCGGAAUUACUGGGCGUAAAGCGUGCGCAGGCGGUUUUGUAAGUCUGACGUGAAAUCCCCGGGCUCAACCUGGGAAUUGCGUUGGAGACUGCAAGGCUAGAAUCUGGCAGAGGGGGGUAGAAUUCCACGUGUAGCAGUGAAAUGCGUAGAGAUGUGGAGGAACACCGAUGGCGAAGGCAGCCCCCUGGGUCAAGAUUGACGCUCAUGCACGAAAGCGUGGGGAGCAAACAGG
This 253-nucleotide ribosomal RNA is filed under the name uncultured bacterium. Its description in RNAcentral is "partial 16S ribosomal RNA". It matches the Rfam family "Bacterial small subunit ribosomal RNA", at positions 524 to 776 of the family's 1533-position model. The record is from RNAcentral.